Molecule: non-coding RNA, 133 nt
Organism: Nyctereutes procyonoides (raccoon dog)
Lineage: Eukaryota; Metazoa; Chordata; Mammalia; Carnivora; Canidae
Source: RefSeq, a predicted model, not a curated record
GGCCUCUGUCCCAUAAGGCUGUGGGGAAGGGUCCCUUUUCUCCUUAAGCAGGGUUAAAAAUCAAAAUCAGCCUUGAGGAUCAAUGUUGGGGCUGCCACAAGCUGGCAGUCUUGUUUUCCUGCCUUAGACAUCU